This is a long non-coding RNA of Rhagoletis zephyria (snowberry fruit fly), 1093 nucleotides long. RefSeq lists it as uncharacterized. The record is from RefSeq and is a predicted model, not a curated record. NCBI's taxonomy places the organism in Eukaryota, Metazoa, Arthropoda, Insecta, Diptera, Tephritidae.
AAUUCACAUUUCUCAGAAAUUUGACAACAAAACAAAGGGCGUAUUUUAUUUGCUAAUUUUUGCGAUUUCUAUUGUUUGAUGUAAAUUUAUGUCUUUUGAGGAUAUGUUGAGGCAAUAAAGAAGGCGCAGUUUGAAAAUGGAGUUAUUAGUAAUGAAGUAGCAGGCAUAUUUGGAAAAUUAUGCCGAUAAACAGGAUGGAAUUUGGAAAAAAUGUUAUAAAUCGAGUGGCUCAUCUACGAUGUGCUCCAAACAUUUGGCGAACUUUUUUUUCGCCUUUUCAAUGUGCUAAGUAAGAAACCGCAAACAAAGGGCAGACAACCUUCCCGGAAGCUGCCUCCUGUCCCUGAGUCGAAGCUGAAGUUCAGCAAGAAGCAUGCCAGCAAACUGCUACCCUGAUCAAGCGUAAACUAAAGCGCUCUGCUGCGAUUACACUCCGUAAACGUGAAAACUUGGUGCAUGCUGAGAAAUAUCAAACAAGAAAACUCCGGGAUGGACGCCGUGAGAUGAAGUUCCGCCGUGUGGAGAAAUAACGCGGCCAAUUCUACGUGUCUAAAAAAUCCAAAUUGGCUUUUGUGAUCCGUAUCCGCGAUAUCAACAAAGUUGCACCAAAAGUUUUACUGUUGUUCCGUUUUCGCCACAUUAAACACGGUUUGUUCAUCAAAUUGAACAAGGCAACCAUUAAUAACCUACGUAUGCCGAACCCUAUAUGGGGUUAUCCAAAUCUUAAAUCAGUUCGUUAAUUGAUGUACAAACGUGGAAUUGUCUAGCACAACCAUCAACGUGUCCCAAUCUCUGACAGCAAAUUGCUUAAAGCGCACGAAAUUCAGUGCGUUGAUUAUUUGGAGCACGAAAUAUUCACUGUUGGAACCCACUUCAAGAAAGCCCCCAACUUCCUGAUGCCAUUCAAGCUCAACACAUCAAACCGAGGCUGGCGCAAGAAGGCUAAUCACUACGUUGAGGUUGGUGUUUUCGGUAGCCGUGAGCAUAAGAUCAACAAACUGUUCCGAAAGAUCGCUUAAAGAAUUUUUAUUUUGUAUUUAAAGCGACAAUAUACUUUGGCACAUCUUCAAAAGGCGCCCAAGCAAAAAAAAAA